UACGAAGGGGGCGAGCGUUGUUCGGAGUUACUGGGCGUAAAGGGCGCGUAGGCGGCGCUCCAAGUUAGGCGUGAAAGCCCCGGGCUCAACCUGGGAAUAGCGCUUAAGACUGGAGUGCUCGAGUGCGGGAGAGGUGAGUGGAAUUCCCAGUGUAGAGGUGAAAUUCGUAGAUAUUGGGAAGAACACCAGUGGCGAAGGCGGCUCACUGGCCCGCAACUGACGCUGAGGCGCGAAAGCGUGGGGAGCAAACAGG
This 253-nucleotide ribosomal RNA is filed under the name uncultured bacterium. RNAcentral's name for it is "partial 16S ribosomal RNA". It matches the Rfam family "Bacterial small subunit ribosomal RNA", at positions 524 to 776 of the family's 1533-position model. The record is from RNAcentral.